Molecule: ribosomal RNA, 467 nt
Filed under: uncultured bacterium
Lineage: Bacteria
Description: partial 16S ribosomal RNA
Rfam family: Bacterial small subunit ribosomal RNA
Source: RNAcentral
GACGAACGCUGGCGGCGUGCUUAACACAUGCAAGUCGAACGGAAAGGCCUCAAUCGGGGGGUACUAGAGUUGCGAACGGGUGAGUAACACGUGAGUAACCUGCCCUUGACUUUGGGAUAACUUCAGGAAACUGGGGCCAAUACCGGAUACGAGCUCCUGCUGAAUGGUGGGAGUUGGAGAGUUUCGGCGGUUGGGGGUGGAAUGGCGGCGUAGCAGCUUGUUCGGGCGGUAGUGGCUUACCAACGCGUUGACGGGUAGCCGUACUGAGAGAGUGAGCGGCAGCAUUGGAACUGAGAUGCGGCACAAAUGCGGACGGUAGGCCGCUGGGGGGAAGCUUGCACAAGCGAUGGAGGCUGGAUGCAGCAGCGCUUCGUGUGGGAUGGCGCCUUUCGUGUUGUAGACCGCUAUCGGUCAAAACGAAGCUUUGUCUGACGGUAGCAGGUAAAGAAGCACCGGCUAACUCCGUG